UACGGAGGGUGCAAGCGUUGUCCGGAUUUAUUGGGUUUAAAGGGUGCGUAGGCGGUUAAUUAAGUCAGUGGUGAAAUCCUGGAGCUCAACUUCAGAACUGCCAUUGAUACUGGUUGACUUGAGUACAGACGAGGUUGGCGGAAUUGAUGGUGUAGCGGUGAAAUGCAUAGAUACCAUCAAGAACACCGAUUGCGAAGGCAGCUAACUAGGCUGACACUGACGCUCAGGCACGAAAGCGUGGGGAGCAAACAGG
Molecule: ribosomal RNA, 253 nt
Filed under: uncultured bacterium
Lineage: Bacteria
Description: partial 16S ribosomal RNA
Rfam family: Bacterial small subunit ribosomal RNA
Source: RNAcentral